GACGAACGCUGGCGGCGUGCUUAACACAUGCAAGUCGAACGGAAAGGCCCUGCUUUUGUGGGGUGCUCGAGUGGCGAACGGGCGAGUAACACGUGAGUAACCUGCCCUUGACUUUGGGAUAACUUCAGGAAACUGGGGCUAAUACCGGAUAGGAGCUCCUGCUGCAUGGUGGGGGUUGGAAAGUUUCGGCGGUUGGGGAUGGACUCGCGGCUUAUCAGCUUGUUGGUGGGGUAGUGGCUUACCAAGGCUUUGACGGGUAGCCGGCCUGAGAGGGUGACCGGCCACAUUGGGACUGAGAUACGGCCCAGACUCCUACGGGAGGCAGCAGUGGGGAAUAUUGCACAAUGGGCGGAAGCCUGAUGCAGCAACGCCGCGUGCGGGAUGACGGCCUUCGGGUUGUAAACCGCUUUCGCCUGUGACGAAGCGUGAGUGACGGUAAUGGGUAAAGAAGCACCGGCUAACUACGUGCCAGCAGCCGCGGUGAUACGUAGGGUGCGAGCGUUGUCCGGAUUUAUUGGGCGUAAAGGGCUCGUAGGUGGUUGAUCGCGUCGGAAGUGUAAUCUUGGGGCUUAACCCUGAGCGUGCUUUCGAUACGGGUUGACUUGAGGAAGGUAGGGGAGAAUGGAAUUCCUGGUGGAGCGGUGGAAUGCGCAGAUAUCAGGGGGAACACCAGUGGCGAAGGCGGUUCUCUGGGCCUUUCCUGACGCUGAGGAGCGAAAGCGUGGGGAGCGAACAGGCUUAGAUACCCUGGUAGUCCACGCUGUAAACGGUGGGUACUAGGUGUGGGGUCCAUUCCACGGGUUCCGUGCCGUAGCUAACGCUUUAAGUACCCCGCCUGGGGAGUACGGCCGCAAGGCUAAAACUCAAAGGAAUUGACGGGGCCCCGCACAAGCGGCGGAGCAUGCGGAUUAAUUCGAUGCAACGCGUAGAACCUUACCUGGGUUUGACAUGGAUCGGGAGUGCUCAGAGAUGGGUGUGCCUCUUUUGGGGUCGGUUCACAGGUGGUGCAUGGCUGUCGUCAGCUCGUGUCGUGAGAUGUUGGGUUAAGUCCCGCAACGAGCGCAACCCUUGUUCACUGUUGCCAGCACGUUAUGGUGGGGACUCAGUGGAGACCGCCGGGGUCAACUCGGAGGAAGGUGGGGAUGACGUCAAGUCAUCAUGCCCCUUAUGUCCAGGGCUUCACGCAUGCUACAAUGGCUGGUACAGAGAGUGGCGAGCCUGUGAGGGUGAGCGAAUCUCGGAAAGCCGGUCUCAGUUCGGAUUGGGGUCUGCAACUCGACCUCAUGAAGUCGGAGUCGCUAGUAAUCGCAGAUCAGCAACGCUGCGGUGAAUACGUUCCCGGGGCU
This 1346-nucleotide ribosomal RNA is filed under the name uncultured bacterium. RNAcentral describes it as "partial 16S ribosomal RNA". It matches the Rfam family "Bacterial small subunit ribosomal RNA", at positions 28 to 1381 of the family's 1533-position model. The record is from RNAcentral.